This 66-nucleotide non-coding RNA is filed under the name Subdoligranulum variabile. Lineage: Bacteria; Bacillati; Bacillota; Clostridia; Eubacteriales; Oscillospiraceae. The record is from RNAcentral.
UGCCGAAACCGCCAGCGAUGGCGGUCUGCCGGGAAUGGCCGCCCGGUACUGAUGAGGCAGGCCGUU